Molecule: unclassified non-coding RNA, 117 nt
Organism: Macaca fascicularis (crab-eating macaque)
Lineage: Eukaryota; Metazoa; Chordata; Mammalia; Primates; Cercopithecidae
Rfam family: Metazoan signal recognition particle RNA
About the family: The signal recognition particle (SRP) is a universally conserved ribonucleoprotein. It is involved in the co-translational targeting of proteins to membranes. The eukaryotic SRP consists of a 300-nucleotide 7S RNA and six proteins: SRPs 72, 68, 54, 19, 14, and 9.
Source: Ensembl
GCUGGGCAUGGUGGCUCAUGCCUGUAAUCCCAGCACUUUGGGAGGCCGAGACAGGUGGAUCACCUGAGGUCAGGAGUUCAAGACCAGCCUGGCCAACAUGGUAAAACCCUGUCUCUA